AUGGAAAAUAAAGCCAAACGAAAACUGGAGGUCACUAAUAUUUGUGUGCUUUGUGGCAUGGAAUCCGAGGAUACAUUCCACGCUAUGUGUAGGUGUCCGAUGGCGAAAAUGCUAUGGCAGGCGAUGGCGAAGUUCCAGUCUAUGCCGCGUCUUCAGGAUGUUCUUAAUUCGGGCACGGAGUGGGCUCUUCACCUGCUAAACCAAUGCACGGAUGAGCAGCGUCUUCCGGUGAUCAUGACGCUUUGGAGAAACUGGCACGUCCGCAACGAAGUAGUGCACCACAAACCGGCUCCCACCAUUGAAGCUUCCUGCAGAUUUUUGUGCAGCUACAUCGACAGUCUGUACUGCAUUCAGCAACACCCGAACGAUGAUGUGACCAAAGGGAAAAUGGUGAUCAAGCCAAGCUGCUGUAGCUCGCGUAUGAAGUCACCAAUAGAACGGAUGGAGUGCACCAGACCGCCGGAACAAUGGUCCAAACCACCGGAGGGCUGGGCCAAAUUGAACAUCGAUGGCGCCUGGAGAGAAGAGGAUGGCACGGGCGGCGCAGGCAUGAUUCUUCGCGACCAAGAUGGCUCCAUCAUUUUUGCAUCUUGUAGGUUCCUUACGACAUGCACGAGUGCCCUUGAAGCCGAAGUAGCUGCUUGCAUGGAAGGAAUUUCCCUCACGCUAGCACGGACUACACUGCCGUUUAUCCUGGAGACUGACUGUCUUACUGCAGCAAACAUGAUCAGAGAUGUUGACACCAAUAGAUCCCCAGUGGCUGCCCUCAUCGGUGAAAUCAAGCAUCUCCUGGCACUUGGACGUGAACAUGUGAUAGCACAUGUGAGUAGAAACAAGAAUAAAACUAGUCAUGCACUUGCCCAGAUGGGUAUUUCUGAACUCCGUACAGCCGUUUGGGUUCGUCAUGGACCUGAUGAAAUUGGCGCCUUAUGCCAUCAGGAUUGUAAUAAUCUUCCUUGA
Molecule: ribosomal RNA, 960 nt
Filed under: Triticum aestivum (bread wheat)
Lineage: Eukaryota; Viridiplantae; Streptophyta; Magnoliopsida; Poales; Poaceae
Description: partial small subunit ribosomal RNA
Source: RNAcentral